Macaca fascicularis (crab-eating macaque) is the source of this 111-nucleotide small nucleolar RNA. The record is from Ensembl. Lineage: Eukaryota; Metazoa; Chordata; Mammalia; Primates; Cercopithecidae.
AUCUUCCUGUGAUUCGUAAGUGUGACGGUUGGGUUUUCACGCUGGGUUUUCAUGUGUGAGAUAUGCCUCCCUCAAACCUUGUUACAACACCGGCACAUUGCCUGUCAGAUG